AAUGAACGCUGGCGGCAGGCCUAACACAUGCAAGUCGAACGGAUCCUUCGGGAUUAGUGGCGGACGGGUGAGUAACGCGUGGGAACAUACCCUUUGGUACGGAAUAGCCUCGGGAAACUGGGAGUAAUACCGUAUGUGCUCUUCGGAGGAAAGAUUUAUCGCCAAAGGAUUGGCCCCGCGUUGGAUUAGGUAGUUGGUGGGGUAAUGGCCUACCAAGCCGACGAUCCAUAGCUGGUUUGAGAGGAUGAUCAGCCACACUGGGACUGAGACACGGCCCAGACUCCUACGGGAGGCAGCAGUGGGGAAUCUUAGACAAUGGGGGAAACCCUGAUCUAGCCAUGCCGCGUGAUCGAUGAAGGCCUUAGGGUUGUAAAGAUCUUUCAGUGGGGAAGAUAAUGACGGUACCCACAGAAGAAGCCCCGGCUAACUCCGUGCCAGCA
Molecule: ribosomal RNA, 440 nt
Filed under: uncultured bacterium
Lineage: Bacteria
Description: bacterial SSU rRNA
Rfam family: Bacterial small subunit ribosomal RNA
Source: RNAcentral